GAGCACCUCAUCAGCCGUCUCUCCCAGCAGCAGCAGCUGGACUGCCGCGAUAUCACCGACCACGCCGUCUCCAAGUUCAAGAAAGUCAUAUCGAUUCUCAACCGCACCGGCCACGCCCGCUUCCGCCGCAGCCCCACGGCGCCGCCACCUGCGGAGCCGUCGGUCGAGCCGUCGCUCCCCGAAGCAGCGAAGACCCUGACCCUCGCCCCGAUCCCGCUCCGGGUAAAGCCUCCCCACCAUCCUCUGCCGCCACCUUCCCGACCGUUGACACUGGACUUCACCGAGCCGGUCGCCACCUGCGAGGUGUCGGCACCGAGCCGGUUCAGCAAGGAGUGCUUCAGCAUCUCGAAGCCGAUGUCUUCGGCGACAUCCUCGUUCAUGUCGUCCGUCACCGGCGAC
This 399-nucleotide long non-coding RNA is filed under the name Musa acuminata (dwarf banana). RNAcentral's name for it is "long non-coding RNA (MACU_LNC003948)". The record is from RNAcentral. Lineage: Eukaryota; Viridiplantae; Streptophyta; Magnoliopsida; Zingiberales; Musaceae.